RNAcentral lists this ribosomal RNA (420 nucleotides) under uncultured eukaryote. RNAcentral's name for it is "bacterial SSU rRNA". It matches the Rfam family "Eukaryotic small subunit ribosomal RNA", at positions 592 to 1018 of the family's 1831-position model. The record is from RNAcentral.
CAAUAGCGUAUAUUAAAGUUGUUGCGGUAAAAAGCUCGUAGUUGGAUUUCUGUUGAGGACGACCGGUCCGUACCAUGUACGCGCAUCUGGUUCGGCCUCGGCAUCCUCUCGAUAGACGUUUCUGCGCUUGAUUGCGUGGAGCGGAUUUCGGGACUUUUACUUUGAGGAAAUUAGAGUGUUCACGGCAGGCAAUCGCCAGAAUACAUUAGCAUGGAAUAAUACUAUAGGAUCUCGGUUCUAUUUUGUUGGUUUCUAGACCCGGGGUAAUGAUUAAUAGGGAUAGUUGGGGGCAUUAGUACUUAACUGUCAGAGGUGGAAUUCUCAGAUUUGUUAAAGACUGACUUAUGCGAAAGCAUUUGCCAAGGAUGUUUUCAUUAAUCAAGAACGAAAGUUAGGGGAUCAAAGAUGAUCAGAUACCAU